AUUGAACGCUGGCGGCAUGCUUUACACAUGCAAGUCGAACGGUAGGGUAGCAAUACCUGAGAGUGGCGAACGGGUGAGUAAUGCAUCGGAACAUGCCUAUUAGUGGGGGAUAGCCCGGCGAAAGCCGGAUUAAUACCGCAUACGAUCUAAGGAUGAAAGCAGGGGACCGCAAGGCCUUGCGCUAAUGGAGUGGCCGAUGUCAGAUUAGCUAGUUGGUGGGGUAAAGGCUCACCAAGGCGACGAUCUGUAGCUGGUUUGAGAGAACGACCAGCCACACUGGGACUGAGACACGGCCCAGACUCCUACGGGAGGCAGCAGUGGGGAAUUUUGGACAAUGGGCGCAAGCCUGAUCCAGCAAUGCCGCGUGCAGGAUGAAGGCCUUCGGGUUGUAACUGCUUUGUACGGUAACGAAACGGACCUUGGCUAAUACCUGGGCGUAAUG
RNAcentral lists this ribosomal RNA (442 nucleotides) under uncultured bacterium. RNAcentral's name for it is "bacterial SSU rRNA". It matches the Rfam family "Bacterial small subunit ribosomal RNA", at positions 30 to 477 of the family's 1533-position model. The record is from RNAcentral.